GCACCUAAAUCUUUCCCAUUCCUUGCUGCUUCGUGCUGGUGUGGGGACAGACGGUGCUACAGCAUGAGCAGAGGAAAUCCAGACAGGUUUUCCAUUUGUCUUGGGACUUGUCUCUACAACUCUGCCACAUUU
Small nucleolar RNA from Microcebus murinus (gray mouse lemur), 132 nucleotides. Ensembl annotates it as small nucleolar RNA, H/ACA box 55. Its record names the gene SNORA55. NCBI's taxonomy places the organism in Eukaryota, Metazoa, Chordata, Mammalia, Primates, Cheirogaleidae. The record is from Ensembl.